This is a long non-coding RNA of Dalotia coriaria, 583 nucleotides long. RefSeq lists it as uncharacterized. The transcript has 2 exons. The record is from RefSeq and is a predicted model, not a curated record. Lineage: Eukaryota; Metazoa; Arthropoda; Insecta; Coleoptera; Staphylinidae.
UAGUAAAAUUUAACAUUACUUACAAAUUGCUGUUUUGCUUACAAAAAAACUCAUUUUAAUCAUGAAGAUUUUCUUUGUUUUAUUUUUUAUUGGUGUAACAUUUGCACAUUGCUCCGAUAAUACACGUUGUAGAACUGAUUGUCUCUACGUAAAUUUCGAUUAUUUGUUGCGUCGUUACCAGUCGGUUCAAGGUAUUCAGAAUUGCGUUGCCGCCAUUCCGAGCACAGAGAAAAUCCACGAAAUUGUCUACAACAUUGGAGACUAUGGAAGCGACAUGCACACCAAUGGAAUGUACGUCCACGAUUGUGUCCGCACCGAGUUCAACUUCCGGGAUCUCCGCAGUUGCCAGAAACCAAUCAUUGAAUUGAUCGAAAUGGGCGCUGGAAGAAUGCUUGAGUUCUUUAAUCAGCUGCGUGACGAAAUUAAAGUCGUGGGCAACAGUUCGCAAAUUACGUGCGUCAAUCGUCAAACGCAGGGCCCGAUGACUCACUUCAAGGCAGCCUUGGAGUGUUAAGAUAUAUAUUAAAUCUGUUUUGAAUUUUUCAUUAUGCAAAAGAGAAAAAAUACUGUUGAGGGAAAAUAA